UACGGAGGAUGCGAGCGUUAUCCGGAUUUAUUGGGUUUAAAGGGUGCGCAGGCGGAUUUUUAAGUCAGCGGUCAAAUCGUGGGGCUCAACCCCGGCGAGCCGUUGAAACUGGCGGGCUGGAGUUGGAGAGAAGUACGCGGAAUGCGCGGUGUAGCGGUGAAAUGCAUAGAUAUCACGCAGAACCCCGAUUGCGAAGGCAGCAUACCGGCGCCCGACUGACGCUGAGGCACGAAAGUGCGGGUAUCGAACAGG
RNAcentral lists this ribosomal RNA (252 nucleotides) under uncultured Bacteroidales bacterium. Its description in RNAcentral is "partial 16S ribosomal RNA". It matches the Rfam family "Bacterial small subunit ribosomal RNA", at positions 524 to 776 of the family's 1533-position model. The record is from RNAcentral. Lineage: Bacteria; Pseudomonadati; Bacteroidota; Bacteroidia; Bacteroidales.